RNAcentral lists this ribosomal RNA (500 nucleotides) under uncultured bacterium. RNAcentral describes it as "bacterial SSU rRNA". It matches the Rfam family "Bacterial small subunit ribosomal RNA", at positions 15 to 518 of the family's 1533-position model. The record is from RNAcentral.
GAUUAUGGCUCGAGAACGAACGCUGGCGGCGCGUUUAAGCAUGCAAGUCGAGCGGCAAGGGCCUCGGGCCCUAGAGCGGCGGACGGGUGAGUAACACGUGGACAAUCUGCCCCCCGGCCCGGGAUAGCCCAGGGAAACCUGGAUUAAUACCGGAUGAGACGGGACCCGCGAAGGCGGGACCCGGGAAAGGCGCUGCGGCGCCGCCGGGGGAUGAGUCUGCGUCCCAUUAGCUAGACGGCGGGUAACGGCCCACCGUGGCGACGAUGGGUAGCCGGCCUGAGAGGGUGGACGGCCACAUUGGAACUGAGACACGGCCCAAACUCCUACGGGAGGCAGCAGUGGGGAAUAUUGCACAAUGGGCGCAAGCCUGAUGCAGCAACGCCCGCGUGAGUGAAGAAGUAUUUCGGUAUGUAAAGCUCUAUCAGCAGGGAAGAAAGGCUCUUCGGAGAGAUGACGGUACCUGACUAAGAAGCCCCGGCUAACUACGUGCCAGCCGCCGC